Molecule: ribosomal RNA, 543 nt
Filed under: Diaporthe phyllanthicola
Lineage: Eukaryota; Fungi; Ascomycota; Sordariomycetes; Diaporthales; Diaporthaceae
Description: eukaryotic LSU rRNA
Rfam family: 5.8S ribosomal RNA (bases 215-368)
Source: RNAcentral
GUAACAAGGUCUCCGUUGGUGAACCAGCGGAGGGAUCAUUGCUGGAACGCGCCCUAGGCGCACCCAGAAACCCUUUGUGAACUUAUACCUUACUGUUGCCUCGGCGCAUGCUGGCCCCCUCGGGGCCCCCUGGAGACAGGGAGCAGGCACGCCGGCGGCCAAGUUAACUCUUGUUUUUACACUGAAACUCUGAGAAAAAACACAAAUGAAUCAAAACUUUCAACAACGGAUCUCUUGGUUCUGGCAUCGAUGAAGAACGCAGCGAAAUGCGAUAAGUAAUGUGAAUUGCAGAAUUCAGUGAAUCAUCGAAUCUUUGAACGCACAUUGCGCCCUCUGGUAUUCCGGAGGGCAUGCCUGUUCGAGCGUCAUUUCAACCCUCAAGCAUUGCUUGGUGUUGGGGCACUGCUUUUAACGAAGCAGGCCCUGAAAUCUAGUGGCGAGCUCGCCAGGACCCCGAGCGCAGUAGUUAAACCCUCGCUUUGGAAGGCCCUGGCGGUGCCCUGCCGUUAAACCCCCAACUUCUGAAAAUUUGACCUCGGAUCA